AUUGAACGCUGGCGGCAGGCUUAACACAUGCAAGUCGAGCGGGGUGAUGGUGCUUGCACUAUCACUUAGCGGCGGACGGGUGAGUAAUGCUUAGGAAUCUGCCUAUUAGUGGGGGACAACAUCUCGACAGGGAUGCUAAUACCGCAUACGUCCUACGAGAGAAAGCAGGGGAUCACUUGUCACCUUGCUCUAAUAGAUGAGCCUAAGUCGGAUUAGCUAGUUGGUGGGGUAAAGGCCUACCAAGGCGACGAUCUGUAGCGGGUCUGAGAGGAUGAUCCGCCACACUGGGACUGAGAAACGGCCCCGACUCCUACGGGAGGCAGCAGUGGGGAAUAUUGGACAAUGGGGGGAACCCUGAUCCAGCCAUGCCGCGUGUGUGAAGAAGGCCUUAUGGUUGUAAAGCACUUUAAGCGAGGAGGAGGCUCUUUUGGUUAGUACCCAGAAUGAGUGGACGUUACUCGCAGAAUAAGCACCGGCUAACUCUGUGCCAGCAGCCGCCGUAA
Molecule: ribosomal RNA, 503 nt
Filed under: uncultured bacterium
Lineage: Bacteria
Description: partial 16S ribosomal RNA
Rfam family: Bacterial small subunit ribosomal RNA
Source: RNAcentral